ACGGGGGCAGCAGUGGGGAAUAUUGGUCAAUGGGGGAAACCCUGAACCAGCAACGCCGCGUGAAGGAUGAAGGUUUUCGGAUUGUAAACUCCUUUGACGAGGAACGAUAAUGACGGUACCUCGAAAACAAGCCACGGCUGACUACGUGCCAGCAGCCGCGGUAAUACGUAGGUGGCGAGCGUUGUCCGGAUUUACUGGGUGUAAAGGGCGUGUAGGCGGAUCGACAAGUCAGAUGUGAAAACCCGCGGCUUAACUGCGGGACUGCAUUUGAAACUGUAGGUCUUGAGUACUGGAGAGGAAAGCGGAAUUCCCGGUGUAGCGGUGGAAUGCGUAGAUAUCGAGAGGAACACCAGUGGCGAAGGCGGCUUUCUGGACAGCAACUGACGCUGAGGCGCGAAAGCGUGGGGAGCAAACAGGAUUAGAUACCCUGGUA
RNAcentral lists this ribosomal RNA (433 nucleotides) under uncultured Clostridium sp. RNAcentral's name for it is "partial 16S ribosomal RNA". It matches the Rfam family "Bacterial small subunit ribosomal RNA", at positions 341 to 792 of the family's 1533-position model. The record is from RNAcentral. Lineage: Bacteria; Bacillati; Bacillota; Clostridia; Eubacteriales; Clostridiaceae.